RNAcentral lists this ribosomal RNA (825 nucleotides) under Tsukamurella sp. RNAcentral's name for it is "bacterial SSU rRNA". It matches the Rfam family "Bacterial small subunit ribosomal RNA", at positions 67 to 903 of the family's 1533-position model. Lineage: Bacteria; Bacillati; Actinomycetota; Actinomycetes; Mycobacteriales; Tsukamurellaceae. The record is from RNAcentral.
CGGUAAGGCCCUUUUUCGGGGGUACACGAGUGGCGAACGGGUGAGUAACACGUGGGUGACCUGCCCUGUACUUCGGGAUAAGCCUGGGAAACUGGGUCUAAUACCGGAUAUGACCUUCUCCUGCAUGGGGGUUGGUGGAAAGUUUUUGCGGUACAGGAUGGGCCCGCGGCCUAUCAGCUUGUUGGUGGGGUAAUGGCCUACCAAGGCGACGACGGGUAGCCGGCCUGAGAGGGCGACCGGCCACACUGGGACUGAGACACGGCCCAGACUCCUACGGGAGGCAGCAGUGGGGAAUAUUGCACAAUGGGCGAAAGCCUGAUGCAGCGACGCCGCGUGAGGGAUGACGGCCUUCGGGUUGUAAACCUCUUUCAGUAGGGACGAAGCGCAAGUGACGGUACCUACAGAAGAAGCACCGGCCAACUACGUGCCAGCAGCCGCGGUAAUACGUAGGGUGCGAGCGUUGUCCGGAUUUACUGGGCGUAAAGAGCUCGUAGGCGGUUUGUCACGUCGUCUGUGAAAACCCGAGGCUUAACCUCGGGCCUGCAGGCGAUACGGGCAGACUUGAGUACUGUAGGGGAGACUGGAAUUCCUGGUGUAGCGGUGGAAUGCGCAGAUAUCAGGAGGAACACCGGUGGCGAAGGCGGGUCUCUGGGCAGUAACUGACGCUGAGGAGCGAAAGCGUGGGUAGCGAACAGGAUUAGAUACCCUGGUAGUCCACGCCGUAAACGGUGGGUACUAGGUGUGGGUUUCCUUCCACGGGAUCCGUGCCGUAGCUAACGCAUUAAGUACCCCGCCUGGGGAGUACGGCCGCAAGGCUAAAACUCA